GAAGCAAGCCAGACAGUCGCUGGCCGCGGCUGCAAGGCCGUGGCGGGAGGAAGGUCCGGACUCCAUACAGCAGGGUGACGGUUAACGGCCGUCCGCUGAAAGCCGCAAGCGCUUUAGCUUCGGUAUAAGGCGAGGAAUAGGGCCACAGAGACGAGCGUAUUAAGUUACGGUGAAACGCGGUAACCUCCACCCGGAGCAAUUCCAAAUAGGCACGCGUUGAUGCUGCUCGCGGAGCGUGCGGGUAGGAAGCUUGAGCGCUGGAGUAAUCCAGCGCCUAGAGGAAUGGCUGUCAUAGCGCGCGGUUGCAAGACCUGGUGCCGUAACAAAAUCCGGCCUAUCGGCUUGCUUCACUU
RNAcentral lists this RNase P RNA (353 nucleotides) under Oxalobacteraceae bacterium. RNAcentral's name for it is "RNase P RNA component class A". It matches the Rfam family "Bacterial RNase P class A". Rfam says of the family: Ribonuclease P (RNase P) is a ubiquitous endoribonuclease, found in archaea, bacteria and eukarya as well as chloroplasts and mitochondria. Its best characterised activity is the generation of mature 5'-ends of tRNAs by cleaving the 5'-leader elements of precursor-tRNAs. Cellular RNase Ps are ribonucleoproteins. Lineage: Bacteria; Pseudomonadati; Pseudomonadota; Betaproteobacteria; Burkholderiales; Oxalobacteraceae. The record is from RNAcentral.